UAUUUUUACAGGAACAUAAUGCGGAACUUCGAAAAUGUUUGACCAGUUUCCCAUAGAGGCUGCACUUAACCUUCGAAGAAGUGGCUUUUGUUCUCCAUCGACAAUAGAUUCACCACAAAUAUUAGAAUACAGAACCUGAAUCCACAGAUACUUUGAAAAGAUAUCCACGACGACUAAUAGGUAUCGAAACUGACCGUUUUCACUUGCAAUGUUUGACAUAUCAGCGAGGUCCAUGUCCCACUGAUCAUCAAUUCCAGAUACAAUUACACGUGUACGACGAAAAGAAUGACGGAGUUCCUUUCUUAAAGUGUAACUGUCUUGACUUCGUAAUAGUCUUUUUAUCCUGGAUCGUCCAACAUUAGUGAUUCCUUUGGAUUUUAAUAUUCUGUAUAUUUUUUCGGGACAUACAUGUGUGUUUUUAUAUGUGUUUGAUAUUAAAUCAUUUAUUCUAU
This is a long non-coding RNA of Mytilus californianus (California mussel), 452 nucleotides long. RefSeq lists it as uncharacterized. The record is from RefSeq and is a predicted model, not a curated record. The transcript is spliced from 2 exons. Lineage: Eukaryota; Metazoa; Mollusca; Bivalvia; Mytilida; Mytilidae.